CCUACGGGAGGCAGCAGUGAGGAAUAUUGGUCAAUGGGCGAGAGCCUGAACCAGCCAAGUCGCGUGAGGGAGUACUGCCCUAUGGGUUGUAAACCUCUUUUGUCGGGGAGCAAAAGCCGGACGUGUCCGGCUGUGAGAGUACCCGAAGAUAAAGCAUCGCCUAACUCCGUGCCAGCAGCGGCGGUACUACGGGGGAUGCGAGGGUUAUCCGGAUUGAUUGGGUUAAAAGGGUGCGACAGGGGAUUUUUAAGUCGGCGGUAAAAUCGUGGGGCUCAACCCCAUCCAGCCGUUGAAACUGGGGAUCUAGAGUGUGCGAGAGGUAUGCGGAAUGCGUGGUGUAGCGGUGAAAUGCAUAGAUAUCACGCAGAACCCCGGUUGCGAAGGCAGCAUACCGGUGCACAACUGACGCUCAGGCACGAAAGCGUGGGUAGCGAACAGGAUUAGAUACCCGGGUAGUC
This 458-nucleotide ribosomal RNA is filed under the name uncultured bacterium. RNAcentral describes it as "partial 16S ribosomal RNA". It matches the Rfam family "Bacterial small subunit ribosomal RNA", at positions 338 to 795 of the family's 1533-position model. The record is from RNAcentral.